This 425-nucleotide ribosomal RNA is filed under the name uncultured bacterium. Its description in RNAcentral is "partial 16S ribosomal RNA". It matches the Rfam family "Bacterial small subunit ribosomal RNA", at positions 354 to 796 of the family's 1533-position model. The record is from RNAcentral.
GUGGGGAAUCUUGCGCAAUGGGCGAAAGCCUGACGCAGCCAUGCCGCGUGAAUGAUGAAGGUCUUAGGAUUGUAACAUUCUUUCACCGGGGACGAUAAUGAAGGUACCCGGAGAAGAAGCUCCGGCUAACUUCGUGCCAGCAGCCGCGGUAAUACGAAGGGGGCUAGCGUUGCUCGGAAUUACUGGGCGUAAAGGGCGCGUAGGCGGACAGCUUAGUCAGAGGUGAAAGCCCAGGGCUCAACCUUGGAAUUGCCUUUGAUACUGGCUGUCUUGAGUUUGGGAGAGGUGAGUGGAACUCCGAGUGUAGAGGUGAAAUUCGUAGAUAUUCGGAAGAACACCAGUGGCGAAGGCGACUCACUGGCCCAAUACUGACGCUGAGGCGCGAAAGCGUGGGGAGCAAACAGGAUUAGAAACCCGAGUAGUCC